This 86-nucleotide transfer RNA is filed under the name Burkholderia seminalis. RNAcentral's name for it is "tRNA-Ala". Lineage: Bacteria; Pseudomonadati; Pseudomonadota; Betaproteobacteria; Burkholderiales; Burkholderiaceae. The record is from RNAcentral.
GCGCGGCGGGCGCCGGCCGGCGCGCCGCGUUGCCGGUGAUCGGCGCGCGUCAUGCGCCGCUCGCGUUCCAUGCAUGGGAUGCGCAC